AUACCCUACGGGACGCAGCAGUGGGGAAUAUUGCACAAUGGGGGAAACCCUGAUGCAGCAACGCCGCGUGAGUGAAGAAGUAUUUCGGUAUGUAAAGCUCUAUCAGUAGGGAAGAAGAAAGACGGUACCUGACUAAGAAGCCCCGGCUAACUACGUGCCAGCAGCCGCGGUAAUACGUAGGAUGCGAGCGUUAUCCGGAUUUAUUGGGUUUAAAGGGUGCGUAGGCGGGCUGUUAAGUCAGCGGUAAAAGCCCGGGGCUCAACCCCGGCGAGCCGUUGAAACUGGCUGUCUUGAGAUGUCGGGAG
This 305-nucleotide ribosomal RNA is filed under the name uncultured bacterium. RNAcentral describes it as "bacterial SSU rRNA". It matches the Rfam family "Bacterial small subunit ribosomal RNA", at positions 334 to 656 of the family's 1533-position model. The record is from RNAcentral.